AAAUUGAAGAGUUUGAUCAUGGCUCAGAUUGAACGCUGGCGGCAGGCCUAACACAUGCAAGUCGAACGGUAACAGGAAACAGCUUGCUGUUUCGCUGACGAGUGGCGGACGGGUGAGUAAUGUCUGGGAAACUGCCUGAUGGAGGGGGAUAACUACUGGAAACGGUAGCUAAUACCGCAUAACGUCGCAAGACCAAAGAGGGGGACCUUCGGGCCUCUUGCCAUCGGAUGUGCCCAGAUGGGAUUAGCUAGUAGGUGGGGUAAAGGCUCACCUAGGCGACGAUCCCUAGCUGGUCUGAGAGGAUGACCAGCCACACUGGAACUGAGACACGGUCCAGACUCCUACGGGAGGCAGCAGUGGGGAAUAUUGCACAAUGGGCGCAAGCCUGAUGCAGCCAUGCCGCGUGUAUGAAGAAGGCCUUCGGGUUGUAAAGUACUUUCAGCGGGGAGGAAGGGAGUAAAGUUAAUACCUUUGCUCAUUGACGUUACCCGCAGAAGAAGCACCGGCUAACUCCGUGCCAGCAGCCGCGGUAAUACGGAGGGUGCAAGCGUUAAUCGGAAUUACUGGGCGUAAAGCGCACGCAGGCGGUUUGUUAAGUCAGAUGUGAAAUCCCCGGGCUCAACCUGGGAACUGCAUCUGAUACUGGCAAGCUUGAGUCUCGUAGAGGGGGGUAGAAUUCCAGGUGUAGCGGUGAAAUGCGUAGAGAUCUGGAGGAAUACCGGUGGCGAAGGCGGCCCCCUGGACGAAGACUGACGCUCAGGUGCGAAAGCGUGGGGAGCAAACAGGAUUAGAUACCCUGGUAGUCCACGCCGUAAACGAUGUCGACUUGGAGGUUGUGCCCUUGAGGCGUGGCUUCCGGAGCUAACGCGUUAAGUCGACCGCCUGGGGAGUACGGCCGCAAGGUUAAAACUCAAAUGAAUUGACGGGGGCCCGCACAAGCGGUGGAGCAUGUGGUUUAAUUCGAUGCAACGCGAAGAACCUUACCUGGUCUUGACAUCCACGGAAGUUUUCAGAGAUGAGAAUGUGCCUUCGGGAACCGUGAGACAGGUGCUGCAUGGCUGUCGUCAGCUCGUGUUGUGAAAUGUUGGGUUAAGUCCCGCAACGAGCGCAACCCUUAUCCUUUGUUGCCAGCGGUCCGGCCGGGAACUCAAAGGAGACUGCCAGUGAUAAACUGGAGGAAGGUGGGGAUGACGUCAAGUCAUCAUGGCCCUUACGACCAGGGCUACACACGUGCUACAAUGGCGCAUACAAAGAGAAGCGACCUCGCGAGAGCAAGCGGACCUCAUAAAGUGCGUCGUAGUCCGGAUUGGAGUCUGCAACUCGACUCCAUGAAGUCGGAAUCGCUAGUAAUCGUGGAUCAGAAUGCCACGGUGAAUACGUUCCCGGGCCUUGUACACACCGCCCGUCACACCAUGGGAGUGGGUUGCAAAAGAAGUAGGUAGCUUAACCUUCGGGAGGGCGCUUACCACUUUGUGAUUCAUGACUGGGGUGAAGUCGUAACAAGGUAACCGUAGGGGAACCUGCGGUUGGAUCACCUCCUUA
This 1542-nucleotide ribosomal RNA is filed under the name Escherichia coli. Its description in RNAcentral is "bacterial SSU rRNA". It matches the Rfam family "Bacterial small subunit ribosomal RNA". Lineage: Bacteria; Pseudomonadati; Pseudomonadota; Gammaproteobacteria; Enterobacterales; Enterobacteriaceae. RNAcentral also lists the same sequence under 3 other names. The record is from RNAcentral.